GGAGUUUGGGCCGUGUCUCAGUCCCAAUGUGGCCGUACACCCUCUCAGGCCGGCUACUGAUCGUUGCCUUGGUGGGCCGUUACCUCGCCAACUAGCUAAUCAGACGCGGGUCCAUCUCAUACCACCGGAGUUUUUCACACUGCACCAUGCGGUGCUGUGCGCUUAUGCGGUAUUAUCAGUCGUUUCCAACUGCUAUCCCCCAGUAUGAGGCAGGUUACCCACGCGUUACUCACCCGUCCGCCACUAAGUGAUUCAAAUGAAUUCCAUCCGAGCAAGCUCUUCAGGUCUUCGGGAGAACCACUCCGUUCGACUUGCAUGUGUUAAGCACGCCGCCAGCGUUUAUC
This 344-nucleotide ribosomal RNA is filed under the name uncultured Coprococcus sp. Its description in RNAcentral is "partial 16S ribosomal RNA". The record is from RNAcentral. Lineage: Bacteria; Bacillati; Bacillota; Clostridia; Lachnospirales; Lachnospiraceae.